RNAcentral lists this ribosomal RNA (843 nucleotides) under uncultured bacterium. RNAcentral describes it as "bacterial SSU rRNA". It matches the Rfam family "Bacterial small subunit ribosomal RNA", at positions 51 to 893 of the family's 1533-position model. The record is from RNAcentral.
ACACAUGCAAGUCGAACGAGAAUCUACUGAAAGAGUUUUCGGACAAUGGAUGUAGAGGAAAGUGGCGGACGGGUGAGUAACGCGUGAGGAACCUGCCUUGAAGAGGGGGACAACAGUUGGAAACGACUGCUAAUACCGCAUGACGCAUAGAGGUCGCAUGAUCUUUAUGCCAAAGAUUUAUCGCUUCAAGAUGGCCUCGCGUCUGAUUAGCUAGUUGGCGGGGUAACGGCCCACCAAGGCGACGAUCAGUAGCCGGACUGAGAGGUUGAACGGCCACAUUGGGACUGAGAUACGGCCCAGACUCCUACGGGAGGCAGCAGUGGGGAAUAUUGGGCAAUGGGCGCAAGCCUGACCCAGCAACGCCGCGUGAAGGAAGAAGGCUUUCGGGUUGUAAACUUCUUUUAAGAGGGAAGAGCAGAAGACGGUACCUCUAGAAUAAGCCACGGCUAACUACGUGCCAGCAGCCGCGGUAAUACGUAGGUGGCAAGCGUUGUCCGGAUUUACUGGGUGUAAAGGGUGUGCAGCCGGGUCUGCAAGUCAGAUGUGAAAUCCAUGGGCUCAACCCAUGAACUGCAUUUGAAACUGUAGAUCUUGAGUGUCGGAGGGGCAAUCGGAAUUCCUAGUGUAGCGGUGAAAUGCGUAGAUAUUAGGAGGAACACCAGUGGCGAAGGCGGAUUGCUGGACGAUAACUGACGGUGAGGCGCGAAAGUGUGGGGAGCAAACAGGAUUAGAUACCCUGGUAGUCCACACUGUAAACGAUGAAUACUAGGUGUGCGGGGACUGACCCCUUGCGUGCCGCAGUAAACACAAUAAGUAUUCCACCUGGGGAGUACGAUCGCAAGG